RNAcentral lists this ribosomal RNA (301 nucleotides) under uncultured bacterium. RNAcentral describes it as "partial 16S ribosomal RNA". It matches the Rfam family "Bacterial small subunit ribosomal RNA", at positions 509 to 807 of the family's 1533-position model. The record is from RNAcentral.
CAGUAGCCGCGGGAAUACAGAGGAUGCAAGCGUUAUCCGGAAUGAUUGGGCGUAAAGGGUGUGCAGACGGCUUAUUAAGUCACUUGUUAAAUUCUUCGGCCUAACUGAAGGUCUGCAAGUGAUACUGAUGAGCUAGAGGGUGGAAGAGAGAAGUGGAAUUCUCGGAGUAGCGGUAAAAUGCGUAGAUCUCGAGAGGAACACCAAUGGCGAAGGCAGCUUCUUGGUCCAUUCCUGACGUUCAUACACGAAAGCGUGGGGAGCAAACAGGAUUAGAUACCCCAGUAGUCCCUGUCUCUUAUAC